CAUUUAGCCACAUUUAGUUUGAGAAGUGUUUACAACUGACACACAUUUCUGACAUCUCUUCCCAGUGCCAAGGACCCAUUACAGGUGGCUGUGGCCAAAGAGUGCCCUCUGGUGCCUGAACAGGCCCACGCAUCGAGCGCUGAUCCCCAGCCAGAUCACUCCAUCACCUUGGAAACUUGUAGGCAGGCUGUUAGGGAGCUUCACAACAGUCUGAGGAAAACGGCCACGCUCUACACUACGGUGCUACUACGCGGCCAACAGCCCAGUGAAGAUCAGCAAGAAAUGAGGAGCAUUCUGUCCGAGGCCCUGUUCACCGUCAAGGCUGAGCUGGACUCUCUGUCUCACCCCCCCUCACAGUGGGAAGGGCCCCGAGUGGACCAUGGGGUCAAAGGUGAAGGAGAGAAGGCCCUGGCUCUGCUGGAGCAGUACGCUGAGCUGCUGCUUAAGUCUGUGGAGAGGAGACUAGACACCAAGACGUGAGGAGGCUAGACUGAUGUUUGCCCUUAUGGAGCUAAAUCAGGG
This 522-nucleotide long non-coding RNA is filed under the name Sander lucioperca (pikeperch). RNAcentral's name for it is "lncRNA (ENSSLUG00000017295.1)". Lineage: Eukaryota; Metazoa; Chordata; Actinopteri; Perciformes; Percidae. The record is from RNAcentral.